This 446-nucleotide ribosomal RNA is filed under the name uncultured bacterium. RNAcentral describes it as "partial 16S ribosomal RNA". It matches the Rfam family "Bacterial small subunit ribosomal RNA", at positions 338 to 795 of the family's 1533-position model. The record is from RNAcentral.
CCUACGGGAGGCUGCAGUCGAGAAUCAUUCACAAUGGGGGAAACCCUGAUGGUGCGACGCCGCGUGGGGGAAUGAAGGUCUCGGGUUUUUAACCUCCUGUCAUGUGGGAGAACAGUAGAAAGAAAGUACCAAACAAGGAAGGGACGGCUACUUGUGAGCAAGCAGCUGAGUUAAUACGGAGGUCUCAAGCGUUGUUCGGAUUUACUGGGUGUAAAGCGUGCGUAGGCGGUUACGUAAGUCGUGUGUGAAAGGUGGAGGCUCAACCUCCAGAUUGCACAUGAUACUGUGUGACUAGAGUACUGGAGAGGGAGACGGAAUUCUCGGUGUAGCGGUGAAAUGCGUAGAUAGCAGGAGGAACACUCGUGGCGAAGGCGGGUUCCUGGACAUUAACUGACGGUGAGGCACGAAGGCGUGGGGAGCAAAAGGGAUUAGAUACCCCUGUAGUC